AGCAGCCGCGGUAAUUCCAGCUCCAAUAGCGUAUAUUAAAGUUGUUGCAGUUAAAAAGCUCGUAGUUGAAUUUCGGGAUUAGUAGGUUGGUCGUGCCUCUGGUAUGUACUCGCCUUACUGAUUCCUCCUUCUUGAAGAACUGUAAUGCCAUUAAUUUGGUGUUGCGGGGAAACAGGACUGUUACUUUGAAAAAAUUAGAGUGUUUAAAGCAGGCCAUUGCCUGAAUACAUUAGCAUGGAAUAAUGAAAUAGGACGUUGAUCCUAUUUUGUUGGUUUCUAGGAUUGACGUAAUGAUUAAUAGGGAUAGUUGGGGGCAUUAGUAUUCAAUUGUCAGAGGUGAAAUUCUUGGAUUUAUUGAAGACUAACUACUGCGAAAGCAUUUGCCAAGGAUGUUUUCAUUAAUCAAGAACGAAAGUUAGGGGAUCGAAGACGAUCAGAUACCGUCGUAGUCUUAACCAUAAACUAUGCCGACUAGGGAUCGGAUGAUGUUAAUUUUUAAUGACUCAUUCGGCGCCUUACG
Molecule: ribosomal RNA, 520 nt
Filed under: uncultured Glomus
Lineage: Eukaryota; Fungi; Glomeromycota; Glomeromycetes; Glomerales; Glomeraceae
Description: SSU rRNA
Rfam family: Eukaryotic small subunit ribosomal RNA
Source: RNAcentral